GAUGAACGCUGGCGGCGUGCCUAAUACAUGCAAGUCGAGCGAACGGACGAGAAGCUUGCUUCUCUGAUGUUAGCGGCGAACGGGUGAGUAACACGUGGAUAACCUACCUAUAAGACUGGGAUAACUUCGGGAAACCGGAGCUAAUACCGGAUAAUAUUUUGAACCGCAUGGUUCAGAAGUGAAAGACGGUCUUGCUGUCACUUAUAGAUGGAUCCGCGCUGCAUUAGCUAGUUGGUAAGGUAACGGCUUACCAAGGCAACGAUGCAUAGCCGACCUGAGAGGGUGAUCGGCCACACUGGAACUGAGACACGGUCCAGACUCCUACGGGAGGCAGCAGUAGGGAAUCUUCCGCAAUGGGCGAAAGCCUGACGGAGCAACGCCGCGUGAGUGAUGAAGGUCUUCGGAUCGUAAAACUCUGUUAUUAGGGAAGAACAUAUGUGUAAGUAACUGUGCACAUCUUGACGGUACCUAAUCAGAAAGCCACGGCUAACUACGUGCCCAGCAGCCGCGGUAAUACGUAGGUGGGCAAGCCGUUUUCCGGAAUUAUUGGGCGUAAAAGCCGCGCGUAGGCGGUUUUUUAGUCUGAUGUGAAAGCCCACGGCUCAACCGUGGAGGGUCAUUGGAAACUGGAAAACUUGAGUGCAGAAGAGGAAAGUGGAAUUCCAUGUGUAGCGGUGAAAUGCGCAGAGAUAUGGAGGAACACCAGUGGCGAAGGCGACUUUCUGGUCUGUAACUGACGCUGAUGUGCGAAAGCGUGGGGAUCAAACAGGAUUAGAUACCCUGGUAGUCCACGCCGUAAACGAUGAGUGCUAAGUGUUAGGGGGUUUCCGCCCCUUAGUGCUGCAGCUAACGCAUUAAGCACUCCGCCUGGGGAGUACGACCGCAAGGUUGAAACUCAAAGGAAUUGACGGGGACCCGCACAAGCGGUGGAGCAUGUGGUUUAAUUCGAAGCAACGCGAAGAACCUUACCAAAUCUUGACAUCCUUUGACAACUCUAGAGAUAGAGCCUUCCCCUUCGGGGGACAAAGUGACAGGUGGUGCAUGGUUGUCGUCAGCUCGUGUCGUGAGAUGUUGGGUUAAGUCCCGCAACGAGCGCAACCCUUAAGCUUAGUUGCCAUCAUUAAGUUGGGCACUCUAAGUUGACUGCCGGUGACAAACCGGAGGAAGGUGGGGAUGACGUCAAAUCAUCAUGCCCCUUAUGAUUUGGGCUACACACGUGCUACAAUGGACAAUACAAAGGGCAGCGAAACCGCGAGGUCAAGCAAAUCCCAUAAAGUUGUUCUCAGUUCGGAUUGUAGUCUGCAACUCGACUACAUGAAGCUGGAAUCGCUAGUAAUCGUAGAUCAGCAUGCUACGGUGAAUACGUUCCCGGGUCU
This 1376-nucleotide ribosomal RNA is filed under the name uncultured bacterium. RNAcentral's name for it is "bacterial SSU rRNA". It matches the Rfam family "Bacterial small subunit ribosomal RNA", at positions 28 to 1381 of the family's 1533-position model. The record is from RNAcentral.